RNAcentral lists this ribosomal RNA (220 nucleotides) under Clostridioides difficile. Its description in RNAcentral is "partial 23S ribosomal RNA". It matches the Rfam family "Bacterial large subunit ribosomal RNA", at positions 763 to 983 of the family's 2925-position model. The record is from RNAcentral. Lineage: Bacteria; Bacillati; Bacillota; Clostridia; Peptostreptococcales; Peptostreptococcaceae.
UUCGUGGAGGUCCGAACCCACGAGCGUUGAAAAGCUCGGGGAUGACUUGUGGGUAGCGGUGAAAUUCCAAUCGAGCCCGGAGAUAGCUGGUUCUCCCCGAAAUAGCUGUAGGGCUAGCCUCAAGGUGAGAGAUACGGAGGUAGAGCACUGAAUGUCCUAGGGGGUAUUGCACCUACCGAAGACUAUCAAACUCCGAAUGCCGUCAUCUUAUACUUGGGAG